RNAcentral lists this long non-coding RNA (572 nucleotides) under Canis lupus familiaris (dog). RNAcentral's name for it is "lncRNA (ENSCAFG00000054969.1)". Lineage: Eukaryota; Metazoa; Chordata; Mammalia; Carnivora; Canidae. The record is from RNAcentral.
AUGCCCCGGGCCCCGGCACGCAGCGGCGGGGGCUCCUCCCCGCGGGGAAGAUGCCCCGGGCCCGGGUCGCGGAAGGGCGGGCGUGGCCCAGGGAAUCCCGCGAAGCCGCCCCAGCGCCUGCCGGCGGGGCGCCCCGGGCUUUCCCCGCCGCCGGGUGCGCGGCGCCCGCCCGGCGCGGACCCUCCUGCCCCGCGGAGCGCGAGCCCCGGAGCCAAGCAGGAUCCCCUCGCGUCCUCCCGCCGCCUCCCCCGGGGCUUUCGCGCUGGAGACGGUGAAGGGAGUCAGGGAUGUGAGGACGGGGGGAGACGCCGGGAGCUGCCGCCCGCCGGGGAGACCCUCCUCUCCGCCGAGGGGAGGGGGACCGCCAGCCACAGAUCAUUGGCGAAGGGGACCGUCGCGGGGAGAGGAGCCCCGGAGGGAGCGGGGGAUCCCACGACCCUGCGUGGCGCCCGAGCCGUGCCGCCGGCCAGCGGGGUCGGUGGGAGCAGUCGCGCCGGUGGACAUGCCUGCCUCGGAGGGCCACCGCCGCGGCUGACCCUCCCGCAGCUCAUCCUUCGGAGGAUCGUGGCUCC